This 3028-nucleotide long non-coding RNA is filed under the name Homo sapiens (human). RNAcentral describes it as "HSALNT0379413". The record is from RNAcentral. Lineage: Eukaryota; Metazoa; Chordata; Mammalia; Primates; Hominidae.
AUUCUUAAUGAGUAAUUCUUAGGAUUUAGUACAAAAUUAGAUAUAUUCUUUUUAUUCGUAAUGAUAUAGCAUGAAGUUCUUGCGGGGUAGGAGAGAGAGGUAUUCAUCUGAAAACUGGCUCUGUUUUAGUGUAGACAUUUGUCUACGGGGAAACAGUAGGAAAGCAUCAAGAAAUAUUUCUUGAUGUGUACAAUUGAAGUGAUGUUUACAAUGUAGUGAAAAAAAAACCUAUGCACGCAUGUUCCUGAUUUUAAUAAAGCUCUGCAAAGAUUUCCUUCCUCAUUCUUUGCUUUUGAUUCAGCAUAUGUGCUGUUGCUAAGUUAAGUGUUGGUAACCCUGUGUCCUUUGUUGGGCCAAACAAGGUUAAAAUUAAGACGAAAAAAAUUUCUGAGUUCAUUUCAAAUGGAAGGACAACAUGAUACCUAACACAGAAGAGAACAAAUUUAGUUUUGACUUUCUGCCCUAUGUCCACCUAAAGCUGUAUUUCACUCACUCACUAAUAUUUAGAAAUCACCCACUUGGUGGUUGGCUCUGUGCUUAGUGCUAAGAACUGGUCGUGUUAUAGGUGCUGUGGGUGCGUGUCUGCGCUGGCUUCAGGAGGAGGGAGCAGGCCCUGUGGGGCCCAGCAAGGCCUCCCAGGAGAAGCAGUGUGUUAGCUGAAGUUUAAUGAACUAAUUGGUGGUCCUGGGAUGCAGUUGGGAAGAUGGGAUGAUUCAGCCUGUUGGGUUGAGGCUGUGAAGCUGGGCAGGGUUUCAGCUGAGCUGAGGUUGGAAGUCCCUGACCUUCAGCUGUGGCCGCCUACGGAGCAGCAGGGAGAGCAAACCCAUGGAGAACCCCGCGGCCCCCAAAGCAUGGACGGAGCUGCCAGCCUUCUCCCCUGCCCUUCUUCCUCUACUCCCGACCUGCCAGCCUUCUCCCCUGCCCUUCUGCCUCUACUCCCGACCUGCCAACCUUAGCCUAAAAUCAGAGCUGCUAGAAUCACACACACUGUCGUAGCUGGUUUUGUAUUGUAAAUGAGUCAUUCUGUUAUUUUGGAAACUUAUGUCUCAUGCCAGGAUCUGCAGAUAGUUCUUUUUCAAAAUAUUGUUUAGACAAAAUAAAUUUCUUUAAAUAUAAUAUCUCUACUUUAAAUGCCUGGGGUGUUGCAUGCAUUUUUCUAGGCUAGCAAAGCUUAAAGAUUAUUUCUAUAAUUUCAGUUACAUUUACCUUUAUAGAUGGGUUACUCUAAGUAACAAAUUAAACACACAUGGAUCUUCUAACUUUGGCUUUAAAUCCUAAGAAGAGAUAGGUAAUAUAUAAAAGAGUAUUAAAAAGAAAUGGAGAGUAAAGGUAUAUGUCGGGCAGAUGCAGUAGAAAAGCAAGGGUCAUGACGUCAAUGCUGGGCAAAGCUAAAUUGUGAAGACAAAACAAUAAUGAAACAGGGUUAUUCAUCACGCUAAAGCGUACAGUCCAUAGGAUGAUAUAACUACCAUGAAUUUGGCCUAAAUGAUUGAACAUUGAAACACAUAAAGCGAGAACUGUAGGGGAUUAAAGACAAAAUCAGUGAGUGCAGUGCUGGUGGGAGAGGCGCCUGGACUUCUUGGCCCCUCACAGGUCAUGUGGUAGACAUAAGUUGUUAUUACUGUGAGCCAGUAGAGACUUUCAGGUUUGAUGGCUGGAAAACAAAUGCUCAUUUUAUAAGUUUUUUUUUGUUUUGUGUUUUGUUUUGUUUUGUUUUUGAGACGGAGUUUCACUCUUGUUGCCCAGGCUGGAGUGCAGUGGUGCGAUCUCGGCUCACCGCAACCUCCGCCCCUUGGGUUCAAGCGAUUCUCCUGCCUCAGCCUCCCAAGUAGCUGGGAUUACAGUCAUGCACCACCACGCCCAGCUCAUUUUGUAUUUUUUUUUAGUAGAGAUGGGGUUUCUCCAUGUCAGUCAGGCUAGUCCUCAACUCCCGAUCUCAGGUGAUCCGCCCACCUCAGCCUCCCAAAGUGCUGGGAUUACAGGCGUGAGCCACCGUGCCCGACCCUCAUGGUAUAAGUUUUUAAACUUAAUAUAUACUAGCUUACAGAGGAAACCGAUGUGAUUUCCAAAAAUUUGAAAUAAUUAGAAACCUUAUUCUCACAUUAUAAUGCAAUAAAAAUAGAAAUAAACACACAGGCGGAAACCAGGCAUCCCUGGGAGUCCCUUGGGGCAGAGAAGAGCUUCGUCGCUCAAGCAAAACUUCCAUGGAGGCGAGGACUGUGGGCUUUGUUGGAAGCUUUAUCUCCAACCUCUAGAACACGAGCACUAAGUAGAUUCUGAACAAAUCUUAUUAAAUGAAUAAGAGCUAAUAAUCCUAAUAAAUAUGUUGAAAGCACUAUUCUAAGCAUGUACAUUUAUUAUGUCACUCACUCCUCACAGUCCCUGUUCGAAGGAGGUGCUGUCCUCAUCCGCAUUUCACAGAUGGGGGAAUGGGAAGGGUAGGCUCAGUCACUUGCCCCAGAAUUGACAGCUGGCAAGUGGGAGACUGAGAUUCAGGCUGGGCUGUCGGACUUGGCCGUGUUCUCAUGUGCAGAACCACCAUUGCCUCCAAAUUAAUGAAAAAAUGAGAUAAGGUAAUGGCUUAGAGUUAAUGUGUAAAGAUUGUUAUUAAAUAAGAAUCAAAAGAAGUGAUUUAAACACUAAAGAGGUAGCAAAGAACCAAAGUAAGUUGAAGAAUUACUGUGUUCUUUAAAGACAAAAGCAGAAAUGAAUCAACUAAGAAAAAGAGAGAAUGAAACCAAAGAACAGGUUUUGGAAGGGGGCAGACAGCGAUGAAGCGGGGAGAGUAAAGACAAGUAGACCUGGAGCCGGUGUGGUGGAAAAAGGAGAGAAAUCAUAGCGUGUAAGAAGUAGUAAUCGUCGAAGGAAGGUGAAUGCAAGCGUCUUGUGAAUCUGAAAAUGGCAUUUUGUAAAAUUCACUUUCCAUUCCUGAUUUGUAGUUUGUUUGCUUAUUUGUUAACUUUCUUAAAUAAUUUCAAAAGCAUGGAAAAGUUGCAAGAAUGAUAUAAAGAAUUUAAUCAAAAUUUCA